This 425-nucleotide ribosomal RNA is filed under the name uncultured bacterium. RNAcentral's name for it is "partial 16S ribosomal RNA". It matches the Rfam family "Bacterial small subunit ribosomal RNA", at positions 354 to 796 of the family's 1533-position model. The record is from RNAcentral.
GUGGGGAAUCUUGCGCAAUGGGCGAAAGCCUGACGCAGCCAUGCCGCGUGAAUGAUGAAGGUCUUAGGAUUGUAAAAUUCUUUCACCGGGGACGAUAAUGACGGUACCCGGAGAAGAAGCUCCGGCUAACUUCGUGCCAGCAGCCGCGGUAAUACGAAGGGGGCUAGCGUUGCUCGGAAUUACUGGGCGUAAAGGGCGCGUAGGCGGACAGCUUAGUCAGAGGUGAAAGCCCAGGGCUCAACCUUGGAAUUGCCUUUGAUACUGGCUGUCUUGAGUUUGGGAGAGGGGAGUGGAACUCCGAGUGUAGAGGUGAAAUUCGUAGAUAUAGGAAGGAACACCAGUGGCGAAGGCGACUACCUGGACUGAUACUGACACUGAGGUGCGAAAGCGUGGGGAGCAAACAGGAUUAGAUACCCCUGUAGUCC